AAAGGAAUAGACGGGGGCCCGCACAAGCGGUGGAGCAUGUGGUUUAAUUCGACGCAACGCGAAGAACCUUACCAAGGCUUGACAUCCCGAUGCAAGCGUAAGAAAUUACGCCCCUCUUCGGAGCAUCGGUGACAGGUGGUGCAUGGUUGUCGUCAGCUCGUGUCGUGAGAUGUUGGGUUAAGUCCCGCAACGAGCGCAACCCUUAUGUUUAGUAGCCAUCGGAUUAAGCCGGGCACUCUAGACAGACUGCCGUGGAUAACACGGAGGAAGGUGGGGAUGAGGUCAAAUCAUCAUGCCCUUUAUGCCUUGGGCUACACACGUGCUACAAUGGGGAUUACAAAGUGAAGCUAGCAGGCGACUGUGCGCAAAUCACAAAAAAGUCCUCUCAGUUCGGAUUGGAGUCUGCAACUCGACUCUAUGAAGUUGGAAUCGCUAGUAAUCGUGAAUCAGCAUGUCACGGUGAAUACGUUCCCGGGCCUUGUACACACCGCCCGU
This 495-nucleotide ribosomal RNA is filed under the name uncultured bacterium. RNAcentral describes it as "bacterial SSU rRNA". It matches the Rfam family "Bacterial small subunit ribosomal RNA", at positions 903 to 1397 of the family's 1533-position model. The record is from RNAcentral.